GAUGAAGAACGCAGCGAAAUGCGAUAACUAAUGUGAAUUGCAGAAUUCCGUGAAUCAUCGAGUCUUUGAACGCACAUUGCGCCCCCUGGUAUUCCGGGGGGCAUGCCUGUCCGAGCGUCAUUGCUGCCCAUCAAGCACGGCUUGUGUGUUGGGUCCUCGUCCCCCCCGGGGGACGUGCCCGAAAGGCAGCGGCGGCACCGCGUCCGGUCCUCGAGCGUAUGGGGCUUUGUCACCCGCUCUGCAGGCCCGGCCGGCGCUGGCCGACGCGAAAGCAACCAUUUUUUCUACAGGUUGACCUCGGAUCAGGUAGGGAUACCCGCUGAACUUAAGCAUAUCAAUAAGCGGAGGA
RNAcentral lists this unclassified non-coding RNA (349 nucleotides) under soil metagenome. RNAcentral describes it as "partial contains 5.8S ribosomal RNA, internal transcribed spacer 2, and large subunit ribosomal RNA". The stretch from base 1 to 120 matches the Rfam family "5.8S ribosomal RNA", at positions 35 to 154 of the family's 154-position model. The record is from RNAcentral.